CAACAAUAAUAUUCAUGUUAUAAGAAACAAAUCAUUUCUUGAUUUUACUGCCCUUCGAACGCUUUCACUGGCGUACAACGACAUUGAAGUUUUGACAUACGAAGCUUUCUAUGGUCUUAACAAUCUGACGAUGCUAAAUAUCAGUAUGAAUCCACUACGUCAUUUCAAAGGGAAUUUAACUGGAUUAUUCCCCUCGCUUUCUGUAUUGGACGCUACAGGCAUCGAGGCCUGGAAACCAGAGAAAAAGAUGUUGCAACUGCGCAUGCUUGAACGGAUUAUAGGUCUCACGUGGUCAGUGGAGUGUCAAAACUGCUUAUUUUACCGAAGCAACAGGACGAAU
Molecule: long non-coding RNA, 340 nt
Organism: Actinia tenebrosa (Australian red waratah sea anemone)
Lineage: Eukaryota; Metazoa; Cnidaria; Anthozoa; Actiniaria; Actiniidae
Source: RefSeq, a predicted model, not a curated record